Molecule: ribosomal RNA, 373 nt
Filed under: uncultured organism
Description: bacterial SSU rRNA
Rfam family: Bacterial small subunit ribosomal RNA
Source: RNAcentral
CAGAGGGGGCAAGCGUUGCUCGGAAUUACUGGGCGUAAAGGGCGCGUAGGCGGGAUGGCAAGUCGGUCGUGAAAUCCCUCGGCUCAACCGAGGAACGUCGAUCGAUACUGCUGUUCUUGAGGAUUGCAGAGGAGACUGGAAUUCCCGGUGUAGCGGUGAAAUGUGUAGAGAUCGGGAGGAACACCGGUGGCGAAGGCGGGUCUCUGGGCAAUUCCUGACGCUGAGGCGCGAAAGCGUGGGGGAGCAAACGGGAUUAGAUACCCCGGUAGUCCACGCCGUAAACGAUGAGCACUAGGUGUGGGGGGGUUCAGUCCCUUCCGUGCCGCAGCUAACGCAUUAAGUGCUCCGCCUGGGGAGUACGGCCGCAAGGUUG